AUGAACGCUGGCGGCGUGCCUAACACAUGCAAGUCGAACGGAGAUUUAACGCUGAUGAGGCUUCGGCGGAUUCUGUUAAAUCUUAGUGGCGGACGGGUGAGUAACGCGUGGGCAACCUGCCUCAUACUGGGGGAUAACAGUUGGAAACGACUGUUAAUACCGCAUAAGCGCACUAAAGUCGCAUGACUCAGUGUGAAAAACUCCGGUGGUAUGAGAUGGGCCCGCGUCAGAUUAGCUAGUUGGUGGGGUAAAGGCCUACCAAGGCGACGAUCUGUAGCCGGACUGAGAGGUCGGACGGCCACAUUGGGACUGAGACACGGCCCAAACUCCUACGGGAGGCAGCAGUGGGGGAUAUUGCACAAUGGAGGAAACUCUGAUGCAGCGACGCCGCGUGAAGUGAAGAAGUAUUUCGGUAUGUAAAGCUCUAUCAGCAGGGAAGAAAGGCUCGUAAGAGAGAUGACGGUACCUGACUAAGAAGCCCCGGCUAACUACGUGCCAGCAGCUGC
RNAcentral lists this ribosomal RNA (506 nucleotides) under uncultured bacterium. RNAcentral's name for it is "bacterial SSU rRNA". It matches the Rfam family "Bacterial small subunit ribosomal RNA", at positions 29 to 518 of the family's 1533-position model. The record is from RNAcentral.